Molecule: long non-coding RNA, 606 nt
Organism: Quercus robur (English oak)
Lineage: Eukaryota; Viridiplantae; Streptophyta; Magnoliopsida; Fagales; Fagaceae
Exons: 3
Source: RefSeq, a predicted model, not a curated record
AUAAUCUUUGUAUUAUGAUUUGUUGUGAAAAUAUUGUAAAAAUAUGGUAAACAUAACAUCUCAAAUUUUUUAAAUUUCUUUUUGCGCGGUGCCCCAAUUUUCAGGCGCGUUCUAAAUUUUUUUGAUUUCUUUUUUUUUUUUUCAUUAUUUUUUAUUUGUGCAAACAAAACACUGUUACUCUCUCUUUCUCCUCCCACGUAUAGACCCACGCCUCUCUACCUCCCAAAAAGACCGGUAAGCUCUCUCUCAUCGUUGUCAUCGAUCCUCUCUCUCUCAUCACUUUUUUUUCUUCUUUCAGGAUUAGCAUGAUAUUGAUUUCGGGAGGUGUUGGUUUUACGACAUAAAUUUUGGGAUUGGAGAAGCUUCUAAGUGGGUCAAGGGGAAGCAAUUGGAAGAAGUUGUGUCCAUUAAAAACACAUAUGGGAUUGGUGGCAAAAAGAUAGCUUUUGUGGGACUAUUUGAACUCAAAUAAUUUUCUAUAAAGUUUGGAAGCUAAGACAUCAUUUGUAUAUAAAUGGUUGUAAUUACUUUGUGAACAUCUUUAUUGCAUUUUGAGAUUGUAUGGAUUUAUUUAUUUAUUUAUUUAUGGAUUUGGUUAGAAAUGAA